ACUUGGUGGGGGACCUGAAGCUGGGCUGGGCAGCUUUUCAGGAUCAGUAGUCCAGUAGUAGGAUCAAGUGUGCCCAUCAGUGACCACGAGAAGGAACUCUGAAUGUAGGAGGAGAUCCAAGGCCCAGAGGAAAUGAGUGGCAUAGAAUUAUUAUUAUUAUUAUUAUUAUUAUUAGUGUCACCCAUCACUAGUGCAUGUGGCUUGGCUCACUAGCUUGACUUGUCCACAGAAAGCUUGGCCUCAGCUGUGAUCCCCAGAUUAUAUUUUCUGUUGUGGAUGCCUAUGCCAGGAGAAUACCAAGUCCUUCUUCCAUCGCAGGGUCGUGGUUUGGGAAAGGCUCUGGCCAAGCAGCAGCCCAGUGGUGUCAGGGGCAAACCCAGAAUUUGCAGGUAUGCUGUGACCUUCAGUGGCAGGGGAAGGGUUUCCCAGUGAUCUUCCCAGCUGGAGGAGGAAGGCCUGGUUUAGAUAUUCCUAUAGUUUUACGGGAAGAGUUUCUCCGCGGUCCACCUGGGCAGGACAAGGGGCAUGAUUCUCUCCCAUGCCAACACCACAUCCCAAGGGUGGGCUGGGGCAGUUUUAGGAUGGCACGACCGGUGUGCUCACACUGGGCACCACGCUGCAGAGGGGGCCAAAACAAUGCUGAAGAACAAGAGGGAGGGGUGCCAAAUUUUAGGGUCAUGCGGGGCACCGUUGACAUUUGAGAGCCCAAAGUUUGCCCUUGGUUGGACGCAGUUCCAGAUUAAAACCUGUGGAGGCCCUGAGGCAGUAAAAAUAUUGCUGGGCUCCUCGCAAAUUAUCUCCUGAUACGUUUUUGAUUUUACCAAUCAAAAAUAGUAAUAAACCAAUUUUAUUACACAAUACUAACAGUAUUUAUUUUGAUCCAUUGGGUAAUAUGGCUCUGCUUGGGAAUGCUUCUGCCAAUAUGAAUCCCAGAAUUCUUCCCCCACAUCCUUCCUUCUUUCAGACAGAAACGGACAUGGUGUGUGGAACUGGACCAGGGGAAGAAGUGACUUUCCCAUUGCUGGGGAUGGGGACUGCCAUUUCCUCAUGCCAGCAAUGGGACAGCCACUUCUCUUCUCCCUGGUUAUUGCCUUGGGGAAACAGGUCCCCCCCAGGAGCUGUCUCCAUGGCUAUGGUUUCAGACCUGCAGGAAUCAAGGCCAGCCUACUAGUCCAAACCUAAAUAUUUUGGGAAAUAGAUAGUUUUCCAUGUUUGGACUUCAAAUUAUGCAUAUUGCUGUCCCGGACCACCUAGAUCUCAAACUAGGGCACUUUCUUUCUUGCAGCCUUCUUCUUCUUCUUCCUUAGAAAUGUUGCCCCCAAAAUACUAACAUCAGAGUUAGGUUGAGAAAUCUUAUGAAAUCUCACAUGUUGACCAAAAUGGAAUGCAUUUGAGGUUCUUUCCUUGCCUUCUUAGCCCAUAUUUUUCUCUAAUUUCUGCAUCCCAUGAAAACAUCCUUCCUGAGAUACCAGGCAGCACCAACCGGUGGUCUCACUUACCACAAUGAACCUUAGAAUAAAAUAAAGGUAAAGGUACCCCUGACUUAGGUCCAGUCACGGACGACUCUGGGGUUGCGCGCUCAUCUCGCUCUAUAGGCUGAGGCAGCCAGCAUUUGUCCGCAGACAGCUUUCAGGUCAUGUGGCCAGCAUGACUAAGCCGCUUCUGGUGAACCAGAGCAGUGCACAGAAACACCGUUUACCUUCCCGCCGGAGUACUACCUAUUUAUCUACUUGCACUUUGAUGUGCUUUCGAACUGCUAGGUGGGCAGGAGCUGGGACCAAGCAACAGGAGCUCACCCUGUUGUGGGGAUUUGAACCACUGAUCUUCUGAUCGGCAAGCCCUAGGCUCUGUGGUUUAGACCACAUCACCACCCUCUCCCUAGAAUAAAAUAGAUACAUAUAAUUAUCUAUAUAUUUAUCUGGAACUCCUCCAACCAAUCCAACUAACUGAGCUUGUAUCAGGGGUGGUCCCAGAGUCCUGCUGACAUAAGCCAGGAUCUUCUGGGUUCCCCAGCUUUUCCCAUAUGUAACCUCUGUGACAACACAGGGCUUCCACCACCACUGGCUAUUCCCGGUCUCAGCUUGCAUGUGGCUACAGCUCCCAGAUGGACACAGAGGACAACUUCAAGCAUUACAAAACUCAGGAGCCGCCAGUGAUUUUAUGCCCUGCGAGUUUCCCAACAGCAUGAUGUGGCAAUGCGAUCAUUGGGGAAUCCAUGGACAGUGAGAGCCCAUUCACAUGAGAGCCCAUAAUAUACCCUGCUUCGUCCACAGGGCCACACCUCCAGGGAUCAGGCUCCAGCUCCAGCUCCCAGGAUGAAGGACCAAAGGACAUCCAGGUGAUUCCUGGUUGCCAUCCAUCGCGCCUCUUCCCCACUGCCCCUUCUCCUUGCGGGCAUGGCUCCGUCUCAGCCAUCUUUGGCGCAGAAGCAGCAGCCAAAGUUUCCUUUCAUUAAGACAGCAGCUCUGCUUAUUUCCCACCUGUAAUCUCUUCCUCUGAUUUUAUUUUCCUUUCUGUCUCCUAGCUCCUCAGACAGGUAGGUCAUAGAGGCUAUUGUGGGCUUUGCAAGCAAAUGACAGAUGGCAUAGCUGUCAACGUUCCACUUUUUAAAAGGGAAAUUCCCUUAUUCUGAAUAGGAUUCCUCGCAAGAAAAGGGAAAAGUUGACAGCUAUGCAGAUGGGGAGGCCGCCAUGUUUAAGAAUGGCAUCAUAGAAAUUGUGGUAGGGGGAAGCGGGGCACAUUGAUGCAUCGGGCACAUUGAUACACCAACAAUAUUUCAAUACAGUGGUGCCCCGCAAGACGAAUGCCUCGCAAGACGGAAAACUCGCUAGACGAAAGGGUUUUCCGUUUUUUGAGCUGCUUCGCAAGACGAAUUUCCCUAUGGGCUUGCUUCGCAAGACGAAAACGUCUUGCAAGUUUGUUUCCUUUUUCUUAACACCGUUAAUACAGUUGCGACUUGACUUCGAGGAGCAACUCAUAGAACGUGGUGUGGUAGCCUUUUUUGAGGUUUUUGGUGAUUUUUGAAGCUUUUCCAAAACUUUUCCGACACCGUGCUUCGCAAGACGAAAAAUUCGCUAGACGAAAAAACUCGCGGAACGAAUUAAUUUCGUCUUGCGAGGCACCACUGUAUCGAGAAAUGUUAUUUGUGUUGCGACAUCACUAAAAAUGUGUCUAUACAUGUAUGCCUACAACAGUUGCGACCACACCGCCCGCCAGUUAGCCGUUGACAUUUGACGAGAGUAGGUUAGAACUGAAGGGUUCAGCCAGCCUGCUUAUAUAGAGCUCCACUACAACGCAACGUUACACUUUCUGUAACUAUCCAAUCACUGAACGUCACUUUCAAUCCCUUAUUUGCAUAUGUGGACCUGAGUGAAAACUAUCUACAGUAUUCCCCUGCUGGCCCAGGGUCAGAACUUCAGUACAUAACACCUUGUCCCUUUUUUCAGGUUCUACAGUCUUCCUUAUAAAUCAGUUACAUUUGUUGUGAGACAUUAGUGUUGAGUACAGUUUAAGGUUGGGGAAGAAGAGGAUUGGAGAGGAGGGGUGGUGUGGUGUGGUGAGGCUUAUAUUCUUUUGUAUAUUGUCCGUGUGGGGUUUUGUGUCUGCGUUUAUUACAUAUCCUUGGUAGUGAGAGGUAUUGGGGAGGCAGGCUGUGAUUGGUUGUCUGUGGUUGUUUGCAAUGGGGUUUGUUUGCAUUUGUGAUGGGGGGAAUUGUUGAGGCAGGUAAACCAGAUUGAUUAAUAUGCUGUCAAUGGAUUCUUCUUGUUGUCUUUUUGGGCUGUGUAUGUGAUAAAUGGGAGCCAUACUGGGGUGAAGGCGUCCUCUCCCAUUUGUCCCCAUGUCAGUUUCAGUUUAUUGCUUAGCUUUUCUAGUAUUUCUGUGCACACUCAGUAAGCAUAGCCCACUGAGACGUUCCUUUAUCUGAUACGGGGGGGGGGGGGCGGAAUAAAUAUGGGUACAAAAUGGGCUACGUACAGAGAGCUGUUAAUUGAAACAGAAAACAAAUUAAAAUGGAAAUAUUUUAACAAAAUUAGAGAGAACGUAACAGAUUGGUUACAAUAUUUUCAGUUAAAUGAAAUAUUUAAGAAUGAUAAAAAGGUAGGAUUUGCAUAUGAAAUUUCAACCUUUCAGAGAGAAAGAAUAGAAAAUGAUAAGAAAUUAAUAUCUAAAAUGUACAAUCUGUUGCUGGAAUGGGAAACAAAAGAUGAAGAGGUCAAAUCAGUUAUGAUUAAAUAGUUACAAGAUGUGGGACAUAAUAUUCAGAUGGUGGAAUGGGAAAAACUAUGGAAGAAUGAUAUAAAAUUUAUAGCAUGUGUGGUGAUUAAAGAAAAUUAUAUGAAAAUGAUGUAUAGAUGGUAUCUAACUCCAGCUAAAUUAGCAAAAUUUAUAAAACUAAGGAAAGCAAGUGUUAGAAAUGUAAAAUAACAGAGGGGACAUUUUUCCAUAUGUGGUGGAAUUGUAAAAUUAUAAAGAAAUAUUGGGAAAUGAUUUAUAAUGAAAUGAAAAAGAUGUUUAAAACAACCUUUGUUAAAAAAAACCAGAAGCUUUCUUAUUAGGAAUUAUAGGAGUGGACCUAUCAAAAUCACAAAAGAACUUGUUUAUGUAUGCAACAACGGCCACAUGGACCUUAUUAGCACAACACUGGAAAGAAGAAGGUGUCCCAUCUAAAGAAGAUUGGGAAGUUAAAUUAAUUGAAUAUGCUGAAAUGGCGAAAUUGACUAUGAAACUAAGAGGAAGAGACGACAAUGAAUUUAAGGAAGAGUGGAAGAUGUUUAUUGCAUAUUUACAGAAGCAAUGUACACAGGUUAAUACAUUAGCAGGGUUUUAAGAUUACUUGUAAUUUUGUUAUGAAUGGAUAAUAGGGAUUUAAAUAGGUUAAAAUUUAACAAUUAGACAUGCAGUAUGUUGAAUAGAACCAAGGAAGGGACUAGACUGGAAGUCAAUUUGUUUUGUUUUGUUUCUGUAUUGUUGUUGUUUUUAUUUUUGGAAAAUCAAUAAAAUGUUAUUUUU
Podarcis lilfordi (Lilford's wall lizard) is the source of this 5010-nucleotide non-coding RNA. NCBI's taxonomy places the organism in Eukaryota, Metazoa, Chordata, Lepidosauria, Squamata, Lacertidae. The record is from the annotation of a GenBank genome assembly.